UUUUUUUUUUUUUCCUUUCCAAUCACCUGAUCAUUAAAAUGUGUGUAAUCUUUGGCAUAAAGCUGCUAUUAGAAGUGGCAGCAUGAUACUAAUGCCUAUAAUUUUUGAAAUUCCUGACUUUAAAGUAAACUGGUUUGGUUUGAUUAGAUCAGUAAUCACUGUACUUUAGGCCAAAAACACCUUGAAUAUUGGACAAUAACUAUAUAUUAGACACACGUAAAAUGUUGUUAUCCUGAGUUUAUAAUUGGAGAUGGAACUAGUUUUUGAAGCAUAGAAUAGAGAAUGAAUAUAAAGCUCAUCCUUGCAUGUUUCAUCAAGAGAGCCAAACUGAUACGUAGAAGGGAAUGCAAAUUUCAGGUAGAAUAUUCAAGCUUGGCACAUAGCUGCCCAGCUUUGAACAUUCCGAGUUCAGGCUCAACUGUGAUCCAAAUAUAUUCCUAUCUUGCCAAGCUUUGCUCAGUAUAACUUUCUUGAAACUGUUAGAUUAAACAAGAAUGCUUCUCCGGAAGGCUAGAAUACAUGGUGAUUAAUUACUUUAUUUCCGUUAGCUUUCUAAAAUAUAAGAACUGGCAAAUGUAAUAAUUCAAAAGCCUUGCAAGGUGAACGUUAGCUCAUAAAAGUUUUAGCUUUUGAAAAAAGCAGGAAUCAGCUUGUAUAAAAGUUUCAAUUUGCUUUUACAACAAAUGGUUCUAUUACCCCUUUUGUUAUGAUGUUGCUCUGCUUUUACUUAUUAUAGAGAUAGUGGGAGAUCCAGCAUGUGUACUUUUUGGUUACUGAAAUUAUGCCCAAGGGUACCCAUUAGCUCUUAGGGGGCCCCUAUGGAACCUGACAUGCAUAUUUCAAUUCUCUGUGUUAAAGAUGAAAAGUUGGAAAUAAUGGUUUAUAGUUGUGAUUAAUUUGUCUUUGAAUCUUGUCAACUGAUUAGCUUUGUACUGUAACCCGUAUUAGGAGCAUAAUGUUGAAACUACUGUGAUGGGGCAUCCGGGUUUCAACCUCUGACCUAUACCAUGAAGAUAGGUAUUCAACUAUUGAACUACUGGCCUAAUCCCUACGUACGAAUAUAUGUAGUUGCAGAUGACGGGAGAGAG
This 1088-nucleotide unclassified non-coding RNA is filed under the name Hevea brasiliensis (rubber tree). The record is from RNAcentral. Lineage: Eukaryota; Viridiplantae; Streptophyta; Magnoliopsida; Malpighiales; Euphorbiaceae.